AGCUGAGGAACGGUCAGGUGGCAGCGCCCUCCAGUGGACACAAGGAGAAUAGCCUCCAGGUGGAUAUCAAAGAUCUCCCGCGGUGCUAUUGGAAAGGAGAAGGGAGUUUCUCUCUCUCUCUCCCCGGUGUCCUGGCCAACAAUCCCCCAGUAUUUCCUUGCCACCUUCUGUGAGGUGGUUUUGAAGUGUUCUGACUGCAAUCGGAGAGAGAGAGAGAGAGAGGUCAGUGUGAGUGGCUUAUCGGCCAGUACUCACAGUCACUACCCCAACCAGUGCCAUAUGGAGGAGGGUUUAUUACCCCAGGAAACGUGAUCAACU
Molecule: long non-coding RNA, 318 nt
Organism: Callorhinchus milii (elephant shark)
Lineage: Eukaryota; Metazoa; Chordata; Chondrichthyes; Chimaeriformes; Callorhinchidae
Exons: 4
Source: RefSeq, a predicted model, not a curated record